RNAcentral lists this ribosomal RNA (275 nucleotides) under uncultured prokaryote. Its description in RNAcentral is "partial 16S ribosomal RNA". It matches the Rfam family "Bacterial small subunit ribosomal RNA", at positions 524 to 798 of the family's 1533-position model. The record is from RNAcentral.
UACGUAGGUGGCGAGCGUUGUCCGGAAUUACUGGGUGUAAAGGGCGUGUAGGCGGGGAAGCAAGUCAGAUGUGAAAUCCCGGGGCUCAACUCCAGAGUUGCAUCUGAAACUGUUUUUCUUGAGUACUGGAGAGGAAAGCGGAAUUCCUAGUGUAGCGGUGAAAUGCGUAGAUAUUAGGAGGAACACCAGUGGCGAAGGCGGCUUUCUGGACAGUAACUGACGCUGAGGCGCGAAAGCGUGGGGAGCAAACAGGAUUAGAUACCCCGGUAGUCCCU